UAGCCUUGACAUACUACAGAAUUUGACAGAGAUGUUGAAGUGCCUUCGGGAGCCUGAAAACAGGUGCUGCACGGCUGUCGUCAGCUCGUGUCGUGAGAUGUUGGGUUAAGUCCCGCAACGAGCGCAACCCUCAUCCUUAGUUGCUACCAGUUCGGCUGGGCACUCUAAGGAGACUGCCCUCGCAAGGGGGAGGAAGGUGAGGACGACGUCAAGUCAUCAUGGCCCUUAUGGCUGGGGCUACACACGUGCUACAAUGGGAUGUACAAAAAGUUACGAUACCGUGAGGUGGAGUUAAUCUUUUAAAACAUUUCCCAGUUCGGAUUGUUCUCUGCAACUCGAGAACAUGAAGCCGGAAUCACUAGUAAUCGUAAAUCAGCAUGUUACGGUGAAUACGUUCCACGGGUCU
This 406-nucleotide ribosomal RNA is filed under the name uncultured bacterium. RNAcentral's name for it is "bacterial SSU rRNA". It matches the Rfam family "Bacterial small subunit ribosomal RNA", at positions 976 to 1381 of the family's 1533-position model. The record is from RNAcentral.